RNAcentral lists this ribosomal RNA (387 nucleotides) under uncultured bacterium. RNAcentral's name for it is "bacterial SSU rRNA". It matches the Rfam family "Bacterial small subunit ribosomal RNA", at positions 29 to 417 of the family's 1533-position model. The record is from RNAcentral.
AUUAAACGCUGGCGGCAUGCCUUACACAUGCAAGUCGAACGGCAGCACGGGGGCAACCCUGGUGGCGAGUGGCGAACGGGUGAGUAAAGCAUCGGAACGUGCCCUGGAGUGGGGGAUAACGUAGCGAAAGUUACGCUAAUACCGCAUAUUCUGUGAGCAGGAAAGCAGGGGAUCGCAAGACCUUGCGCUUUGGGAGCGGCCGAUGUCGGAUUAGCUAGUUGGUGGGGUAAAGGCCUACCAAGGCGACGAUCCGUAGCGGGUCUGAGAGGAUGAUCCGCCACACUGGGACUGAGACACGGCCCAGACUCCUACGGGAGGCAGCAGUGGGGAAUUUUGGACAAUGGGCGCAAGCCUGAUCCAGCCAUGCCGCGUGAGUGAAGAAGGCCU